CAAUUCCGUCACCCAAAUGCAGCAUGAUUUUUUUUCUACCAAAUUUAACAUUCAAAUGCAGCCUGAAUUUUUCUCCCAGAUUUGACAUGCAUAUUUUGAUGAAACCUGUUUACGGUGGGCUUGAUCCCAAAAAUUUGUAUCCUGGAUGAAUGUUAUAUCACGAUUCAUCAAACAUGUGAAUAUUUGUUUCGGAUUCCGGUCCAAUUGGAAAUCCAAGAUGCUGGCUUCCAUGUUCAGCCACAAAAGAGGAGACCGUGGAAACAAAAUCUGUUAAAUACAGUGUUUGUUUUCCCCUCCAGAAGGGGAUAAUCAUGGAACUUGCAGCGAGAACGUAAAAAAGUUUUGACAGAGUCUUGCGGCUCCUGCCUCUUGGAGUUUCUUGGCAAAAAAGGUCAUGGCGUUGUAUAAUUUUACCUUCUCCUAACAGCUAUAGUUGUUCACUUCACUAGUUUGAGGAAACCCAUGAGCAAAUAGUCAAUAUGAACGCGAUCCGGAAAAAAGGAAAUCCAUAAUCGACAAAAAGGAGACGGGUGUUUUUACUGAGAAAAAAGCGCUUGCGUUUGGCUUUAGAGUUGGUAGAGUGACGAUCCCAACAAUUCCUGUGGACUAGAUUCCUUCAUGUCAAUACGAAUUGCUGCCUCGUUCUGAUGCUGCUGUUUUGUGGCCCAAUCAUCAUCAUCACCAUCACCGGAUGGCACUCAUAUUCCGGAAAGUCUGGAGCAGUAUGGUGGUCGGGCGGUCGAAUGCCCACGACUCAAUGGAACCGCAGCUACAAUCCCUGAGCCCACUGCAUCAGCUGCCGCUAGAUGUCAUCUUGCUCGUCUUCAAAUUCCUUGGUCCCAAGGAAGCAGCCAGGGCCUGCCUCGUGUGCAGGAUGUGGAGGGCCAUGAUCACCGACAAUCAAUUGUGGAUGUUCUUCCUUCAGAACUGCAGGGAAUCGUGGGAAACGAUUCUUUUUCAAGAGACCAUCUUGAGAUCGGGCUACUCACUUGGGUCGAGUCCUAGUUCUUUUCAUGAAUUGCCACUUAUGCAAAUCUAUGGGCAACGGGCAGAACCAUCUGGAGCCAUAAUUAUCGACUGUGGAUCAGGAUACUGCAAAUAUGGUUGGAGCAAAUAUCCAUGCCCAUCUGCACGAGCAGCUACUUUUAUGGAAUUUGGCAACAUGGAGUCCCCGACAUAUUCAGCACUCAGACAUUUCUUUUCAACAAUCUACGCUAGCCUUUCAGGAAGAUGCCAUACUCAGGAUAUGAAUCGAAUGCAGGUCAAGCCAUUGGUUCGACCAAUUGUUGUAUCCACUCCCAUUUGCCACUGUGAUGAUACUGAUUCUGCCAAUGCAGCUAGAAGACAGAUGCUGCAGACCAUGUAUUCAGUCUUGUUUGAUAUGAACGUACCUGCUGUUUGUGCUAUUGAUCAGGCAGUGUUGGCUUUAUAUGCAGCAAGAUGCACUUCUGGGGUUGUUAUUAACAUUGGUUUCCAGAACACCUCAAUUGUUCCAAUCUUACAUGGUAGAGUGAUGCGUGAAAUUGGGAUUGAAGUAAUUGGACAAGGAGCAUUGAGGCUAACAAGUUUCCUUGCUGAGCAGAUUCGCCAGAGGGGUAUAGCUUGUGGUUCAAUGUAUACAGUACGCACACUGAAAGAGAACCUGUGCUAUGUUGCUCUGGAUUAUGAAGCAGAGCUAUGUAAAGACACUUCAGCUUCAUUAGAAGUUCCAGGGGAGGGGUUGUUUAUGCUCUCAAAAGAGCGGUUUCAAACAGGGGAACUGCUUUUCCGGCCACGUAAUGGGGGAAUGCGUGCAAUGGGAUUGCAUCAAGCCGUAGCACUUUGCAUGGAGCAUUGUGUUGCUUAUGAUAAGGGAGCAUCAGAUGAUGGAUGGUACAAGACUAUUGUUCUGGCAGGUGGAACUUCAUGUCUGCCUGGGCUUCCAGGUAAUAUAGCUUUUUGGUCAAUUUUGCUAUCCUUCCAAGACUAUUGUUCUGGCAGGUGGAACUUCAUGUCUGCCUGGGCUUCCAGAGAGAUUAGAGAAAGAGCUGUUUGAACUUCUGCCACCGUCUAUUGCAGAAGGCCUGAAGGUCUUACCCCCUCCAUAUGGUGCUGAAUCUGCAUGGUUUGGAGCUAAGAUUGUUAGCAAUGUAAGCACGUUCCGUGAAGCAUGGUGCAUCAACAAAAAGCAAUUCCGACAGCAGUUCCACAAUAGGUUCCUGUAAUAACAAGGAAUAUUGAUUCCUGUAAUACUGAGGAAUGUCAUGCAGCUAGUUGAUUUUUAACCUAGCUUUUCAGGCAUAGUUUCCACUUUCAAGGCAGGAGACAAAAGAUUGACAUCCUUGCUAUAGGUUUGGAAACGUUGGAGAAAGAUGGUCGGAGUCAGGCCCAUUUAUUUAGCAUGUGAAAAGCGUAUCUCCUUUCACAUCAAUGGGGUUCAUAACAUCAUAAUGUACUAGAGCUAUCAAUUUUUAACAGGGCAGAACAUUUGGUAUUGAAGAACAGGGGCGUGGAAGAGAGAGAUGUAUAGCUUGUUUCUGUAUGACGACUGAACCCAUUUAUUUAGUGUUUAAAGUCGGAUGUACAUAUACAUGUCAUACCAAUUGUACUUUUCUCAGAACCCAAGGGAGUUGUUUGUCAUUCCUUGCAUUUAA
This is an RNA transcript of Nymphaea colorata (pocket water lily), 2633 nucleotides long. It is a transcript of the gene named actin-related protein 8, with no coding region annotated. The record is from RefSeq and is a predicted model, not a curated record. NCBI's taxonomy places the organism in Eukaryota, Viridiplantae, Streptophyta, Magnoliopsida, Nymphaeales, Nymphaeaceae. The transcript is spliced from 13 exons.